RNAcentral lists this long non-coding RNA (796 nucleotides) under Anser brachyrhynchus (Pink-footed goose). Its description in RNAcentral is "lncRNA (ENSABRG00000001843.1)". The record is from RNAcentral. Lineage: Eukaryota; Metazoa; Chordata; Aves; Anseriformes; Anatidae.
GAAGCACAGAAGGCCCAACACAUGUCAGUGGUAACCAUUUUGUUGUGGAUACAAAACACAGGGUUUUUGAAGUGGCAAUGGAAAGACCUUUGGAUGAAUGCUGUACAUUCCUAUUCCCUGUGGAGCCACUGGAAAUGAUGAUCGUCUUUUUAGGACUAGACAGGCAUGGAGGCGUGGGACACUAGGGAUUAACUCAAAAGCCAAGAGGAGGUCUUGUCACUGUGGAAGAUCCAAAGAAUCAAAAUCUACCAAUUAUUGCUUCAACUGCUUUUGUGCAAGUACACAGGUUUGUGGAGCAAGCAGCUGUUCAUUUGUUUUGUCAGUAAUGGAAGGAAGACUUGAACAGCUGAUGACAGCUCUGAGCAUUUAUGUUCCAGCUGGUCUCAAAAAUCACAUAACUGGAAGUCGUAAAGACAUGCUGGGGAAAAAAAAGUGGCAGGAAAAUUGGCAGAAAAAGAGACACUGAAAACUUGAAGCAGAAACUAUGGCAACCUGAAGCACUUGGAGGAAAUGCACAGGAGUUUCACCAGUGACACCUGGAGGACCAGGCUUACACCUCAGCAGUGCAGGGAAGUUUGAGAGAGAUGAUUCUUCCCUUGAUUUGUCACAUGUAAGACUGCAACCCAGACUGCAUCUACACCUGCAUUUUUGGAUUGUCCCAGUACAAGAAAGACAUUGACAAACUGGAGAGAGUCCAGCAGAGGACACCAAGUUGGUCAGGAAGCUGGAGCACAAGGUAGGCUGAGGAGCAAAGAGAGGCUGAGGGAGACGGGCCUGUUCAGGCCCCAGAAAAGAU